RNAcentral lists this ribosomal RNA (465 nucleotides) under Vreelandella stevensii. RNAcentral's name for it is "partial 16S ribosomal RNA". It matches the Rfam family "Bacterial small subunit ribosomal RNA", at positions 338 to 795 of the family's 1533-position model. Lineage: Bacteria; Pseudomonadati; Pseudomonadota; Gammaproteobacteria; Oceanospirillales; Halomonadaceae. The record is from RNAcentral.
CCUACGGGAGGCUGCAGUGGGGAAUAUUGGACAAUGGGGGCAACCCUGAUCCAGCCAUGCCGCGUGUGUGAAGAAGGCCCUCGGGUUGUAAAGCACUUUCAGUGAGGAAGAACGCCUGGUGGUUAAUACCCAUCAGGAAAGACAUCACUCACAGAAGAAGCACCGGCUAACUCCGUGCCAGCAGCCGCGGUAAUACGGAGGGUGCGAGCGUUAAUCGGAAUUACUGGGCGUAAAGCGCGCGUAGGUGGCUUGAUAAGCCGGUUGUGAAAGCCCCGGGCUCAACCUGGGAACGGCAUCCGGAACUGUCAAGCUUGAGUGCAGGAGAGGAAGGUAGAAUUCCCGGUGUAGCGGUGAAAUGCGUAGAGAUCGGGAGGAAUACCAGUGGCGAAGGCGGCCUUCUGGACUGACACUGACACUGAGGUGCGAAAGCGUGGGUAGCAAACAGGCUUAGAUACCCUUGUAGUC